Gallus gallus (chicken) is the source of this 735-nucleotide long non-coding RNA. The record is from Ensembl. Lineage: Eukaryota; Metazoa; Chordata; Aves; Galliformes; Phasianidae.
CCUCAGAAUAGCAAGAAAGAAAAGCAUCAGUCUCUGAAAAGAAUGUAGAAAUUCUUUGUGUUUUUCACUCCAAAGUUGCACAAAGAUGGCACAUGAAUGUAUUAUCUUGACGUGGAGAUUGAUGUGAGCAUUGGGCCUGGGGAAGGAUCAAAAGGGCUUUUAUGCCCCAAAGAAAUUGCAGAAGAUGAGGAACAAAGGAUAGUCUGCACUUUGAAGAGUAGGAAGAAACAAUGGGGAAGAGCAAGAACAAGAAUGAUCAUUGUCUUCUCACUGCUCUCAGGAAAUGAAACAAGAGUUUUCAACAGCUUUUCUUAUGCAGGAAGAAAAAGAAUGAAUUGCAACGUCAACAGAACAACAGUCCUAGUGUUCAGAGGAGUAAUGGACUUCCAUGGUUGCAUCCAGACUACUAUGGCUGACUGAAGAAGAUGGAAAUCAAAGCAAUGGUUUAGCUGGUCUAAAUCCAUUAGUUAGAGAGGUAAUACAUGAGCUGCUCUAUACCUGAAUUUAUACUUGACAAGCAAGGUAUUUGCUGCUGUACUCCUGAAAUAAGUUGUCAUACUGACAAGCAUGCUUGUCAUUGAUUUUUAUUUCAGAAAGAAACAUAGUCUUGGCCUCCAUGUGUGUAAAGCAAUAUAAUCACAGCCACGAGGCUGUGCAGCAUUUUGAUAUCAUAUAUAGUGAACUACAAUUUGAAUCUCAGAAAUUAGCUUCUGUUUUAUAUCACUAUGCACACAG